AGCCCUGUGGUGUAGAACAUAUUGGAUUGCAAAUCCAAAGACGUAGAUUAAUACCUGCCGGGGCUU
Molecule: transfer RNA, 66 nt
Filed under: Sinocrossocheilus liuchengensis
Lineage: Eukaryota; Metazoa; Chordata; Actinopteri; Cypriniformes; Cyprinidae
Description: tRNA-Cys
Rfam family: tRNA
About the family: Transfer RNA (tRNA) molecules are approximately 80 nucleotides in length.
Source: RNAcentral